GACGAACGCUGGCGGCGUGCUUAACACAUGCAAGUCGAACGGUAAGGCCCUUCGGGGUACACGAGUGGCGAACGGGUGAGUAACACGUGGGUGAUCUGCCCUGCACUUCGGGAUAAGCCUGGGAAACUGGGUCUAAUACCGGAUAGGACCCUGGGAUGCAUGUCCUGGGGUGGAAAGCUUUUGCGGUGUGGGAUGGGCCCGCGGCCUAUCAGCUUGUUGGUGGGGUGAUGGCCUACCAAGGCGACGACGGGUAGCCGGCCUGAGCGGGUGACCGGCCACACUGGGACUGAGAUACGGCCCAGACUCCUACGGGAGGCAGCGGUGGGGAAUAUUGCACAAUGGGCGCAAGCCUGAUGCAGCGACGCCGCGUGUGGGAUGACGGCCUUCGGGUUGUAAACCUCUUUCAGCACCGACGAAGCGCAAGUGACGGUAGGUGCAGAAGAAGGACCGGCCAACUACGUGCCAGCCGCCGCGGUAA
Molecule: ribosomal RNA, 478 nt
Filed under: uncultured bacterium
Lineage: Bacteria
Description: partial 16S ribosomal RNA
Rfam family: Bacterial small subunit ribosomal RNA
Source: RNAcentral